GGGGUAAAAAUUAAUAUAAUAUAAUUAAUAAAAAAAUUUUUAAAUGUAAAAAUAUUAAUAUUUUUAAUUGGGGGGUUAAAGUAUAUUAAUAGAAAUAAAUUUAAAAAGAUUUAUAGGAAAAUAGUAUUGUGAAAGAAUUUUGAAAUAAAUGAAAAUAAAAUUAAUUAAAAGUAAUUUUUAUUUGGUGUAUCUUGUGUAUCAGAGUUUAUUAAAUAAUAUUUUUUAUUAAAAAUUCUCGAAUUUAAGAGAGAUAAUUAAUUAUAAAAGUUAUUGUGAUAUAAAUAUUUUAAAUAAUUAAUUUGAAAUGAAAUGUUAAUCGUUCUUAAAUAUAUCUAGUUUUUUUAGAAAAAAAUUUAAUUUUAAAUUAAUUUUUCAAUUAACUAAUUAAUUAGUUAAUUGAAAAAUAUUAAUUUUAUAAUUUAAGGGAUAAGCUUUAAAUUAGAUUUAAUAUAAUUAAAAUUUAAAUUUUGAAAAUUAUAUAAUUUAUAUUGUUAAUAAAUUAUAAUUUAUUAUAAAUAAUUUCAAUUUAAAUAAAAUUUAAUUUAAAAUUUAUUAUAUUUAUAAAAAUAAAUGAUUUUUAAAAAAAAAAAAUUAGUUAUAAUGAUAAAAUUAGUAUAUAAAUAUUUAAUAAAUAAUAAUAAUUAUAAUGAUAAUUAUUUAAAAGGAAUUCGGCAAAAAUUUAUAUUCACUUGUUUAUCAAAAACAUGUCUUUUUGUAAUUAAUUUAAAGUCUAAUCUGCCCACUGAUAAAAUAUUAAAGGGCUGCAGUAUAUUGACUGUACAAAGGUAGCAUAAUCAUUAGUCAUUUAAUUGAUGACUUGUAUGAAAGAUUGGAUGAAAUAUAAACUGUCUCUAAAAUAAAUUAUAAAAUUUAAUUUUUUAAUUAAAAAGUUAAAAUGAUUUAAAAAGACGAGAAGACCCUAUAGAGUUUUAUAAAUAUAUAAAUUAAAUUUAUUUAUAUAAUUUUAUUUUUUUUUUUAAAAUUUAAUUUAUAAUUUUAUUUUAUUGGGGUGAUAAAAAAAUAAAAUAAACUUUUUUUUUAUUUUAACAUAGAUAAGUGAUAAUAUGAUCCAAUUUUAUUGAUUAUAAGAAAAAAUUACCUUAGGGAUAACAGCGUAAUUUUUUUUUUUAGUUCAAAUAAGAAAAAAAGUUUGCGACCUCGAUGUUGGAUUAAGAUAAAAUUUAAAUGCAGAAGUUUAAAAUUUUUGAUCUGUUCGAUCAUUAAAAUCUUACAUGAUCUGAGUUCAAACCGGUGUAAGCCAGGUUGGUUUCUAUCUUUUAAAAAAUAAAAUAUUUUAGUACGAAAGGAUUAAAUAUUUAAAUUAAAUUUAUUAAUAAAUUUGAAUUUUAUUAAAUAUUAUAUAUAUAUAUAUAUAUAUAUUAAAUUUAUAAAUAAAAUAAGUAAAAUAUUUUU
RNAcentral lists this ribosomal RNA (1413 nucleotides) under Edessena gentiusalis. RNAcentral's name for it is "16S ribosomal RNA". The stretch from base 1106 to 1265 matches the Rfam family "Eukaryotic large subunit ribosomal RNA", at positions 2825 to 2984 of the family's 3401-position model. The record is from RNAcentral. Lineage: Eukaryota; Metazoa; Arthropoda; Insecta; Lepidoptera; Erebidae.